This 107-nucleotide vault RNA is filed under the name Astyanax mexicanus (Mexican tetra). It matches the Rfam family "Vault RNA". Rfam says of the family: This family of RNAs are found as part of the enigmatic vault ribonucleoprotein complex. The complex consists of a major vault protein (MVP), two minor vault proteins (VPARP and TEP1), and several small untranslated RNA molecules. Lineage: Eukaryota; Metazoa; Chordata; Actinopteri; Characiformes; Acestrorhamphidae. The record is from Rfam by way of RNAcentral.
GCGUCAGGUUAGCUGAGUGGUUACUACACAGUCUGACUUAAAUUCCCUCCCCCUUCCUCAGGUUUCAACCUGGGGAGUUCAAACCACUGGCGCUGUCUGGCGUUUUA